Coccinella septempunctata (seven-spotted ladybird) is the source of this 437-nucleotide long non-coding RNA. RefSeq lists it as uncharacterized. The transcript has 3 exons. The record is from RefSeq and is a predicted model, not a curated record. NCBI's taxonomy places the organism in Eukaryota, Metazoa, Arthropoda, Insecta, Coleoptera, Coccinellidae.
AUACUGAUAUCCUGGAGCAGAGGGAUAACAGGGUGUACGGUGGAAUUUCGGAAGAAACGGUGUGUGGGAUACCACUUACCCACUGGAUGACAGUCAGACGGUCCUGUUUGAUGGUAAUAAAGCUGCACAGAACAAACAAAAACUGUACGGAACAGAAUCUUCCAACACUGGCAGACCAGGUUAGAUCUAUCGGUUAUGGUGGAAUCGCGGAAAUCUAGGUCAUAAACAACGGGUGAAAUCACUUUCACAACGGUAUACGGACCAGAGAACUUCGGAGCCAAUUUGGCUGUAAAACUAUCAACGGCAGACGACAGCGGAUUAGCACGGCGCAGAACUCUAUCACCGACAUGGAAACGAACUUCUCUUCGACGGAGGUUGUAAUGGUGAGCUUGCUGCUCAAAUGCACGGUACAACCUGGUAUUGACAAACUCAUAGGC